RNAcentral lists this ribosomal RNA (259 nucleotides) under uncultured bacterium. Its description in RNAcentral is "partial 16S ribosomal RNA". It matches the Rfam family "Bacterial small subunit ribosomal RNA", at positions 793 to 1055 of the family's 1533-position model. The record is from RNAcentral.
GUCCACGCCCUAAACGAUGAACACUCGCUGUUGGCGAUACACAGUCAGCGGCUAAGCGAAAGCGUUAAGUGUUCCACCUGGGGAGUACGCCCGCAAGGGUGAAACUCAAAGGAAUUGACGGGGGGCCCGCACAAGCGGAGGAGCAUGUGGUUUAAUUCGAUGAUACGCGAGGAACCUUACCCGGGCUUGAAAGUUAGUGAAUGAUCUAGAGAUAGAUCAGUCCGCAAGGACACGAAACUAGGUGCUGCAUGGCUGUCGU